Molecule: long non-coding RNA, 492 nt
Filed under: Solanum tuberosum (potato)
Lineage: Eukaryota; Viridiplantae; Streptophyta; Magnoliopsida; Solanales; Solanaceae
Description: long non-coding RNA (STUB_LNC011564)
Source: RNAcentral
UUCUUGUUUGGUAGAUCAUGAUCAAUAUCAUGUUCUUUGUGUAUCUCUUGUUUUUUCAGAAACUGAUCAAUACUAGUGGCUGGUAGGACCAACUUCUUCUUCACCUGUUUGAAGCUUAGUAGAUCCUGAAUAUCAUAUUGUUCCUCUCCAUUACCUAGUGUUGUUCCAGUCACAUGUACAGAAGAAGUAACACCUUCCUUGGAUGACGUUUGGAACCUGAAGUUGUGCAUAGGAAGUUUAAAUCCUUUCUCUUGAAUGGACUCUCCAGAUUAAAAUAACCUCGGUUUAUUUUGUCCUUUCCCUACAAUUAUAUGUGAAGUACUAAGUUCUUCCCUAGAAGAUGAUUGAAUCACUGAUUUGUGGCCAACCAAUUUACUUUUUCCUUGUUGUGGAAUGAAAUCCUCGGAAUUCUUUCUUUUAAGCACUAUUGGUACAUGCUCUUUCUUAGCGUUAUUAUUGCGUUCGUUCGCAACAUGUUCUCUCUUAAUCUUA